This 506-nucleotide ribosomal RNA is filed under the name bacterium enrichment culture clone ALO1_GLFRUDD03G1R3E. Its description in RNAcentral is "bacterial SSU rRNA". It matches the Rfam family "Bacterial small subunit ribosomal RNA", at positions 9 to 511 of the family's 1533-position model. The record is from RNAcentral.
GAGUUUGAUCAUGGCUCAGAUUGAACGCUGGCGGCAGGCCUAACACAUGCAAGUCGAGCGGAUGACGGGAGCUUGCUCCUUGAUUCAGCGGCGGACGGGUGAGUAAUGCCUAGGAAUCUGCCUGGUAGUGGGGGACAACGUUUCGAAAGGAACGCUAAUACCGCAUACGUCCUACGGGAGAAAGCAGGGGACCUUCGGGCCUUGCGCUAUCAGAUGAGCCUAGGUCGGAUUAGCUAGUUGGUGGGGUAAUGGCUCACCAAGGCGACGAUCCGUAACUGGUCUGAGAGGAUGAUCAGUCACACUGGAACUGAGACACGGUCCAGACUCCUACGGGAGGCAGCAGUGGGGAAUAUUGGACAAUGGGCGAAAGCCUGAUCCAGCCAUGCCGCGUGUGUGAAGAAGGUCUUCGGAUUGUAAAGCACUUUAAGUUGGGAGGAAGGGCAGUAAGUUAAUACCUUGCUGUUUGACGUCACCGACAGAAUAAGCACCGGCUAACUCUGUGCCAG